GCUUUUUGGUAUGUUUACAUAUUGUGGAAGAAGUUUUUUUUUCAUCUGGGAGUUCUCAACUUCCUCAUCAUGGCCGAUGCACCAUUUUUGUUGUCCAAAUUUACAACUUGCUGAAGUGUUACUUUUUGGAGAUUUGCUUGCAAUGGAAAUACAAGUUUCAGCUCUUGAUUCUACAAAGUCACAACAAAUCAUGUGAAAUUCAAAAUAUUG
Molecule: long non-coding RNA, 210 nt
Organism: Lotus japonicus
Lineage: Eukaryota; Viridiplantae; Streptophyta; Magnoliopsida; Fabales; Fabaceae
Exons: 3
Source: RefSeq, a predicted model, not a curated record